ACUCCGCCUGGAGACUUCGGGGAGGCCGAGCUCUCCGCUCGACUCCCGUGUCCGCGCCGUGCUGGGCUGCAGUCACGAGCCCGUCCCUGGAGCCCAUGGCCGCACGGCCCCCGACGGCUUCGUGCUGGGGAUUAUUGUCAUUCAAGGAUGUAUCUGUGGAGUUAUCCUGGGAAGAAUGGCAGCUGCUGGACUCUGCACAACGGCACCUGUACAGAGAAGUGACGCUGGAAAACUAUAGCAACUUGUUGUCAGUGGGUUAUCAUGGUACCAAACCUGAUUUAAUCUUCAAGUUGGAGCAAGGAGAAGAACCAUGGAUAAUAAAUGCCAAAAUGUCCACUCAGUGCUGUCCAGGCUGGAAAGAAUGGUACCAGAAAAAUCAAGAUGAGAUUGAAAACAUUCAGAGAAGCUAUGCUUGUAAUGCCUUUGGAAAACUUUAUAUGAGCCAAACCCAUGUUUCUUCAAGGCAGAGACUCCAUAAGUAUGACACACAUAUGAAAAAUGUGGUACAAAACUGUGGUUCAAGAAGAAAAUCUGAAGGAAAGAAUCUUGGUCAAUUUCAUAGUUAUGAAGAAUCAUAUUUUCUUAAGCAUCAGAGAGGUCAUAGCAUAGAGAAAAACUGUGUUUGUAAUGAAUGUGGGAAAGCUUUUCGUUGUAAAUCACAGCUCAUUGUACAUCUGAGAAUUCAUACAGGGGAGAAGCCAUAUGAAUGUACAAAAUGUGAAAGAGCCUUCAGUGCCAAGUCAAACCUUAAUGCUCAUCAGAGAGUUCACACAGGAGAAAAGCCCUACUCAUGUACUGAAUGUGGGAAAGUUUUCUCUUUUAGGUCACAGCUCAUUGUCCACCAGGAAGUCCACACAGGAGGGAAGCCCUAUGGUUGCAGUGAAUGUGGGAAAGCCUACAGUUGGAAGUCUCAGCUUAUUUUACACCAGAGAAGUCACACGGGAGUAAAACCUUAUGAAUGCAAUGAAUGUGGAAAAGCAUUUAGUUUGAAGUCCCCAUUCAUUGUCCACCAGAGAACUCAUACAGGAGUGAAACCCCAUAAAUGCAAUGAAUGCGGGAAGGCCUUUAGGAGUAAAUCCUACCUCCUUGUUCACAUCAGAGUGCACACAGGGGAGAAACCUUAUCAAUGCAACGAUUGUGGGAAAUCCUUCAGCAUGAAGACACAACUCAUCGUGCACCAGGGAGUUCACACUGGAAACAACCCUUAUCAGUGCAGUGAUUGUGGCAAAGCCUUUGGCCGGAAAGAGCAGCUUACUGCUCACUUGCGAGCCCAUGCAGGGGAGAAGCCCUAUGGCUGCAGUGAGUGUGGCAAGGCUUUCAGUAGCAAGUCAUACCUUGUUAUACAUAGGAGAACACACACAGGAGAGAGACCCUAUGAAUGUAGCUUAUGUGAGAGAGCAUUUUGUGGAAAAUCACAGUUAAUUAUACACCAGAGAACUCAUUCAACAGAGAAGCCAUAUGAGUGCAAUGAGUGUGAAAAGGCCUAUCCCAGGAAGGCGUCGCUCCAGAUACACCAGAAAACUCAUUCUGGAGAGAAACCUUUUAAGUGUAGUGAAUGUGGGAAAGCCUUUACUCAGAAGUCCUCCCUCAGUGAACAUCAGAGAGUUCAUACAGGAGAGAAACCCUGGAAAUGCUCUGAAUGUGGGAAAUCUUUCUGUUGGAAUUCAGGGCUUCGUAUACAUCGGAAAACACACAAGGCAGACAUCCAAGUGACGAAGUGAAUGUUAGAUUCUUUUUCACAGGAGCUGGUGUUACGUAGCCCUCAGAUGAUAAUUCAGACAGACUUAAGCAGGAGAUAGAAAAGUACCUUCACAUCAAGAAAAUUACAUGGGAGAAGUCCUAUUUGAAACGAGACUGCAAAAUUUGUCAGAAAUUAGUCACAUAAAUCUUUGCUCAGAAGAAAGUUGAAGGAAUGAGAACGGUGAACAUACCAAGUGUGGUUGUCGUGUUGUGAAGAUUUGUACCAUUUGUACUGAGACCACAUUGGUGCUGCACUCAGAAUGCAAGCUGCUCUAUUCAGAGGCCAUUGAAUACUAGGUCUGACCUCAUAGAUUGGAUUAUGCUACUGUGAUCUGGUGGACCAAAAUGGAGUUAUGACCCAAGCAACUCAAGGUUAGGCUGUGGAUUCUUGAAUCUCAUCCAGUCGUUGUUUCCCAGAGCCUCAUCCUGCUGUGCAAAUGUCGUUUGCAGUUUGUGCCUCAAAUGUGUGACCAUGUCACAUGCCUAUUAAAGUUUAUAAAUGCGU
This is an RNA transcript of Nannospalax galili (Upper Galilee mountains blind mole rat), 2245 nucleotides long. It is a transcript of the gene named zinc finger protein 26, with no coding region annotated. Lineage: Eukaryota; Metazoa; Chordata; Mammalia; Rodentia; Spalacidae. The transcript has 5 exons. The record is from RefSeq and is a predicted model, not a curated record.